This 497-nucleotide ribosomal RNA is filed under the name uncultured bacterium. RNAcentral's name for it is "partial 16S ribosomal RNA". It matches the Rfam family "Bacterial small subunit ribosomal RNA", at positions 28 to 507 of the family's 1533-position model. The record is from RNAcentral.
GAUGAACGCUGGCGGCGUGCCUAAUACAUGCAAGUCGAGCGAACAGACGAGGAGCUUGCUCCUUUGACGUUAGCGGCGGACGGGUGAGUAACACGUAGGUAACCUACCUAUAAGACUGGGAUAACUUCGGGAAACCGGAGCUAAUACCGGAUAAUAUUUCGAACCGCAUGGUUCGAUAGUGAAAGAUGGCUUUGCUAUCACUUAUAGAUGGACCUGCGCCGUAUUAGCUAGUUGGUAAGGUAACGGCUUACCAAGGCAACGAUACGUAGCCGACCUGAGAGGGUGAUCGGCCACACGGGGACUGAGACACGGUCCAGACUCCUACGGAAGGCAGCAGUAGGGAAUCUUGCGCAAUGGGCGAAAGCCUGACGGAGCAACGCCGCGUGAGUGAUGAAGGUCUUCGGAUCGUAAAACUCUGUUAUUAGGGAAGAACAAUCGUGUAAGUAACUGUGCACGUCGUGACGGUACCUAAUCAGAAAGCCACGGCUAACUACGUG